AGUUUGUUUCUUAGCCCUCCUCCAUGGCUGUGUGUGGGGAAAGGUGCAUUUCCUGGACCUAAAGAAGCUGGCAGUCAGAACCUUGCCAUGGGCUGCGCAGAGUAACUCCAUGGGGUUGACUGGAGAAGGCACUGAGUUUUCUUCAAUUAGUUAAGAUUUUGUUUUCCAAAUCAGUUAGAUUGGUCCAUGAGCAACUGGACUAUUACAAUCCUGUAUAAAAACAGAGAUUUUGAAUUUAAAGCAGAAUGACUCAUGACAAGAAAUUUAUAAUUUGAAAUUUGCAAAAGAUAAAGCUCAGAGCUCUGAAGGACUUUCAUAGAGCAUGAGACUGGGAACUCAGCGAGAGACACAGAUCUCUGAGGAGGCAUAUGUCCUGACCAAGAGAAAGUUGGGAAGAGUAGGUGUACAAAGUGAAAAGAUUCAGUAUAUCUAUAUGGUAUGGUAAUUGUACAUUGCUUGGCUCUCAGCACACUGUGAGGCUCACUUUACAAAAAUUGGUAUUUGGUUUUAGAAACAACUCUAUUUUUAAAAUGGGAGGUUGUUUGUGGUAGGGGUUAAGAGUGUGGGCUCUGGAAUUAAAUGGGCUUGCCUCCUGUCCUGGUUCCCUCAAUUCUAGCUUUGUGAAAAUCAGGUGAGUUUUAAAUCUUUUUGUGCUUCACUUUUCUGCUGGUAGAACAGGGAUGAUUAUUAUAUGGUAGGGUUGUUGUGAAGCCUAACUGAAGUAAUGCACCCAGAGCACUUGCCACUCAAUACAGAUUACAG
This 762-nucleotide long non-coding RNA is filed under the name Homo sapiens (human). RNAcentral's name for it is "HSALNT0337509". The record is from RNAcentral. Lineage: Eukaryota; Metazoa; Chordata; Mammalia; Primates; Hominidae.